AUCGGUUUAGUAUAAAAAGUACGUAUGCUUGUAGCUCAUAAAGUAAAAUAAAAUUAAUCGAAA
This 63-nucleotide transfer RNA is filed under the name Aglaiogyrodactylus forficulatus. Its description in RNAcentral is "tRNA-Tyr". The record is from RNAcentral. Lineage: Eukaryota; Metazoa; Platyhelminthes; Monogenea; Gyrodactylidea; Oogyrodactylidae.